This 6017-nucleotide long non-coding RNA is filed under the name Nicotiana tabacum (common tobacco). Its description in RNAcentral is "long non-coding RNA (NTAB_LNC007198)". Lineage: Eukaryota; Viridiplantae; Streptophyta; Magnoliopsida; Solanales; Solanaceae. The record is from RNAcentral.
UGCAAGUUUAGGUGACCAGGAGGCCUUUUUGCCUAAAAUAAAUCAUCUCCAAAACUUUAUUCGUAGUAGCCAUUGAAAUACUGCUAAGUUAUUAUCAAAAACAUCUGAAUCUUAACCCAUUGACUAUGUCUACGAAGCCUCUACUAAUAAACUGAUGCAUUGCUCAGGACAUGAGAUUGCCUGGCUAGUUCUCCAAGUAAACAAAGAAAUAACUAAAUAAAGAUGACUUAGAGGAAUACUCCACGAACAAAAGCGGAGCUCACCAAUAGUACUGGAAGAGAGGAAAGUCCUAACCUGUAGCCUGCUCGCCUGCAAAACCGGUUCCUACAUUGUACCGCAGACCAACAUAGGUUCCCAAAAGAGAACAUCAGUACCAUCCAUUGUACUCAGUGAGUCUUAACGACAGGGGACAGAACUUUAAUAAAAUAUACAUUAUGAGCAAAGGUUCUAAAUGCAUGGAAAACAUAAAGUUUCUAAGAACAAUUCUAAAAUAAUUACAUAACAGCAGUUUAUGAAUAUUCUAAAAGAAAUUCUUUUCUUUUUCUUUUUUAAAAUAAAAUACUUCACUUCAUACUUCGGGAGUUCCUACUAUCCUAACUUAUUUCUGUCUUAGUCACCGUGUGAUCGGCAUGGGUUCGAUCCCAACCUGAUCGAAUAGGCCCAAUCCACGAGGUGCCACUCGCUUUAUGGUUCUCAACACUCAUGUAUCAUACCUUAGCUUGGCUAGAAAAAUUCUUAGCAACGAGCCCCUCAGUUCUUGUGCUCCCUACUUUGGCACAAGUAGUUUCAGGAAGUCAACGUCUUGGUUAGGACCCUCGGCCUGGACGAUGACCCCUUCUCAGAAUAGAGGAUACUCCCAAAAAUCGUUUCUUUCUAAAACUCCUUCUUCUGACUUUUCAAGUCUAAAUCUUUUCUGGAACAUCCUAUACAUACUCAUACUGGUAUCCUUAAAUGUAAAGCAUGGCAUAAGAAUGAAAUAAACAUUCAAAAAUAUUUCUAAAAAUUCUUGCUUCUUUAUGAAUUUUCAACAUGAAAAUGGCAUAUAAGAAUAACACAAAAAUCUGACAAUUUAUGCACAUAUAUCAAAAUAAAUCAUCUAAACUUUAGCUAGAAAAUAAUUCUAAGCUAAUAGGUACUCACUCGCUCCAAUUAAGUACAUAUUAACUCUUUUAAGCAAUUUAUCAAAUACCUUGUAUGCGUGCUUUUGUGAAUUAAACCACUUUAGUAAAGCGUUAUAUCAACUCACCUCAAAACUCCUCGAGCCAAUACGUAGGCCCCCCAUCCAAUUUAUACCCGUGAAACAAUCGAUUCUACAACAACCAAUGUAUUUUAAUUAAUUUCAAAGUUUCACCCCUAAAUAUGGAACUUACUGUAUCAACAGAGAAAGAAGAGAAUUAACAAUUCAAUUUUUUUACCUACUACUACUGUAGGAUAAUUGACAAUAGGAAUUUUAUAUACGUGAGUUCAAGAACUAGUGAUUUGUAAAGAAACCUAGAAUUUUUUGUUGCAUGCUGGGACGUGAUUCUGUUUCGCUGGGACGUGAACCGUAGAAAUCUGUUGCUUUGAUUUUUUCUAACCUUUCGUCCAAGGCUUAAGGCUUUAAGCCUUUUGCUUUACAACAGCCCUUUAUGUGCUUUAGGCUUGGCCUCCUGUUUUGUUAUUUUAUUGCUUUUCUCUUUUUAUUUUGUUUUAAUUUAACUAAUAAUUAAUGAUACCCAUUUUUAAUAAUUAAUAAUAUUAAAAUUAUUAAUAUUUCCUUAAUUAUAUAUUCAAUUAUUUAUAAAUAGGGAAGUAACUCAAAAGUCAAUCACAAGGGUUUAAAUCCGUAAUAGAAGUAUAAUUUUUAUGCACUCAGGACAAGAUUUUAAAAAAAAAUUAAAUUCUAUAAUUAGCGUGUGUUGAAACUUUUAUAGAUUUGAGGAGUGUUACAAUUUUUUCUCCUUAAAAACAUUCAUCCUCGAAUGUUGUUAGGGCCUUAUUCUUAAGCUAACAAUCAUUCUUUAAUUCCUUGAACAUCUUAAAUUUUCUUAGCACUACUCACUUUCCCAAGGGACGCUAAAUUUUGGCUAACUCCCUAAAUUUUUAAAUAUUUCGGCAGAGUCUCCACUGUAAAUUGGACUAUCCAAAAAAAUAUCCUUGUCACAAAUACCACAACUACACCAACAACAACAAUAUAUACCAUAACAGGUCAUUCAUAGGCACCAUAAACAACUUAUAAACCAAUUACUUACACUCCGGUAAGGAGGUACCACAAUAGCCAACUAAAAUCUAAAGCACAACACUUCAGCAGAAAGUAAAUAACUUUAAUGAAUUAUAUGUACUCUGGCAUUGUACUAAAUUAUUUAAUAACUAAAUAUACUCUGACAUAAACUAAAUUACUUCAACAACUAAGUAUAAUUUAGCAAGGACAUAAACACAUGCUAACUUGUAUUUAAUAAAUAAAAUAUAAAUGCCAAGUCAAACCUAGGUUCACAUACCUUGUUCCUCAAAUAAAUAAGGGUACUUCUUCCUCAUAUCCUCCUCGACCUCCGACGUAGCCUCUUUUGAAUCAUGAUUAUUUCACAAAACUUUUACCAAUGCUAUAUCUUUUGUUCUCAACUUUCUUACUUGCCUAUCGAGGGUUUCUAUAGGUAUCUCUUCAUAAGUCAAGCCUUCUUUAAUUUCUAUGGUAUCGACACGUAUUAUAUAUGACUCAUCAUGAAUGUACUUUCUAAGCAUAGACACAUGAAAUACAGGAUGAACAGAGGACAACUCAACGGGCAACGCUAGCUCAUAAGCCACGUUUCCUUUCUUUUCUAUAAUUUCAUAAGGUCCGAUAAAUCUAGGACUAAGUUUCCCUUUCUUAUCAAACCUCAUAACUCCUUUCAUUGGUAAAACUUUCAAAAACACCUUAUCACCAACCAUGAACUCUAAGUCACGAUGCCUCUUGUCAAAACAAGACUUUUGACGACUCUGAACCGCUUUCUGUCUUUAUCUGAUUAGCUGAACUUUCUCUAAGGCCUCGCAAACAAACUCUGGACCAAUCAAUGACACCUUUGCUAGUUCAAACCAACCCACUGGAGACCUACAUCUUCGCCCAUACAACACUUUAUAAGGAGCCAUACCAAUGCUGACCUGAUAGCUGUUAUUAUAAGCAAAUUCUAUAAGUGGCAAGUGAUCAUCCCAAUUAUCUCCAAAAUCUAUAACACAUGCACGCAACAUAUCUUCGAGAGUCUGAAUGGUCCUUUCUGCCUGGCCAUCGGUCUGUGGAUGGAAAGCGGUGCUCAAAUUGACCUUAGUACCUAAUUUUUUCUGAAAUGCCUGCCAAAAAUGCGCCGUGAACUGAGGGUCUCUGUCAUAUAUGAUUGAAACUGGAGUACCAUGCAAUCAGACUAUUUCUUUGAUGUACAACUACGCAUACUGCUCUGCAGAAUCUAUCAUCUUCACUGGUAGGAAAUGCGUGGACUUUGUCAAUCGGUCUACAAUAACCCAAAUUGAAUCAUGCUUACGGUAUGUGCGAGGCAGACCUACUACGAAAUCCAUAUUAAUCAUCUCCCAUUUCCAUUGUGGUAUCUCUAUAUCUUGAGCUAGGCCACCAGGCCUCUGAUACUCGGCUUUGACUUGCUGGCAAUUCAAACAUUUGACCACAUGAUCUGCUACUUGCUUCUUCAUGCCUUUCCACCAAUACAACUCUUUCAAGUCCAGAUACAUUUUGGUAGAACCUGGGUUGAUAGAGUACCUCGAGCUGUGAGCUUCUUCCGUUAUGGUCUUCCUAAGACCAUCUACAUCAGGCACAAAUAACCGAUCAUUCAACUUCAAAACUCCAUUACUUCCUAGAGUGAAAGCAAUGAUUUCUUUGUUUCUGACUCCUUCUUUUAACUUCACUAAGUACGGAUCUUCGUCUUGUUUAGCCUCAACAUGUACAACAAGAGAGGAUUGCGCUAAGGCACAAACAAUUAUAACUCGUUCGGUCUCAUCCAACCUAAUUCCAUCAUUUGCCAGUUUUUGAAUUUCUCGACCCAAAGUUCACAUUUGUACUGCAAGAUGGGCCAUGACACCCAUUGACUUCCUACUAAGUGCAUCUGCUACCAUAUUAGCUUUGCCCGGGUGAUAAAGGAUAUUGAUGUCAUAAUCCUUCAAUAGCUCAACACACCUUCUAUGUCUCAAAUAUAAUUCUUUCUACUUGAAAAUAUACUGGAGACUUUUGUGAUCUGUAAACACUUCCGAAUGCUCGCCAUAAAGGUUGUGUCUCCAUAUCUUUAAUGCAAACACCACUGCUGCAAGCUCCAAAUCGUGUAUGGGGUAGUUCUUCUCAUGAUUCUUUAACUACCUGGAAGCAUAAGCAAUAACUUUUUCAUCUUGCAUAAGAACACACCCAAGACCAACUCUGGAGGCAUCACAAUACACUGUGAAACCACUAGAACAUGACGGCAAGGUUAACACAAGUGUAAUGGUCAACCUCUUCGUUAACACUUGAAAACUCUGCUCACAAGCGUCUGACCACUGGAACUUAACUGCUUUCUGGGUCAACUUAGUUAAUGGAGCUGCAAGUGAGGAAAAUCCCUCUACAAACCUACUAUAGUAGCAGCUAAUCCCAAGAAACUCCUGAUUUCGGUUGGCGUUGUCGGCAUUGGUCAGUUCUUGACUGCUUCUAUCUUCUGAGGGUCUACUUGUAAUCCUUCACUAGAUACCACGUGGCCUAAGAAUGUCACUGACUGUAACCAGAACUCACAUUUUAAAAACUUGGUUCCUACGUUGUACCGCAGACCAACAUAGGUUCCCAAAAGAGAACGUCAGUACCAUCCAUUGUACCUAGUGAGUCUCAACGAUAGAGGAUGAUACUUUAAUAAAAUAUACAUUACGGGCAAAGGUUCUAAAUACAUGGAAAACAUAAAGCUUCUAAGAACAAUUCUAAAAUAAUUGCAUAACAGUAGUUUAUGAAUAUUCUAAAAGAAAUUCUUUUCUUUUUCUUUCUUAAAAUAAAAUACUUUACUUCAUACUUCGGGAGUUUCUACUAUCCUGACUUAUUUCUAUCUUAGUCACCGUGUGAUCGGCACGGGUUCGAUCCCAACCUGACCGAAUAGGCCCAAUCCACGAGGUGCCACUCACUUCAUGGUUCUCAGCACUCAUGUAUCAUACCUUAGCUUGGCUAGAAAAAUUCUUAGCAACGAGACCCUCGGCUCGUGUGCUCCCUACUUUGGCACAAGUAGUUUCAGGAAGUCAACGUCUUGGUCAGGACCCUCGGCCUGGACGAUAACCCCUUCUCAGAAUAGAGGAUACUCCCAAAAAUCGUUUCUUUCUAAAACUCCUUCUUGUGACUUUUCAAGUCUAAAUCUUUUCUGGAACAUCCUAUACAUACUCAUACUGGUAUCCUUAAAUGUAAAGCAUGGCAUAAGAAUGAAAUAAACAUUCAAAAGUAUUUCUAAAAAUUCUUGCUUCUUUAUGAAUUUUCAACAUGAAAAUGGCAUAUAAGAAUAACACAAAAAUCUGAUAAUUUAUGCAUAUAUAUCAAAAUAAAUCAUCUAAACCUUAGCUAGAAAAUAAUUCUAAGCUAAUAGGUACUCACUCGCUCCAAUUAAGUACAUAUUAACUCUUUUAAACAAUUCAUCAAACACCUUGUAUGUGUGCUUUUGUGAGUUAAACCACUUUAGUAUAUCAACUCACCUCAAAACUCCUCGAGCCAAGUAGGCCCCCCCCGUCCAAUUUAUACCCGUCAAAUAAUCGAUUCUACAACAACCAGUGUAUUUUAAUUAAUUUUAAAUUUUUACCCCUUAAACAUGGAACUUACUGUAUCAACAGAGAAAGAAGAGAAUUAACAAUUUAAUUUUUUUACCUACUACUACUAUAAGAUAAUUGACAAUAGAAAUUUUAUAUACCUGAGUUUAAGAACUAGUGAUUUGUAAAAAAACCUAGGAUUUUUCAUUGCCUGCUGGGACGUGAUUCUGUUUCGCUGGGACGUGAACCGUAGAUGUCUGUUGCUUUGAUUUUCCCUAACCUUUCGUCCGAGGCUUAUUAAGCCUUUUGCUUUUCAACAGCCC